UUUACACAAGAGCAAAAGG
RNAcentral lists this small nuclear RNA (19 nucleotides) under Arabidopsis thaliana (thale cress). RNAcentral describes it as "snRNA_08518". The record is from RNAcentral. Lineage: Eukaryota; Viridiplantae; Streptophyta; Magnoliopsida; Brassicales; Brassicaceae.